UACGUAGGGUGCAAGCGUUAAUCGGAAUUACUGGGCGUAAAGCGUGCGCAGGCGGUUGUGCAAGACAGAUGUGAAAUCCCCGGGCUCAACCUGGGAAUUGCAUUUGUGACUGCACGGCUAGAGUGUGUCAGAGGGGGGUAGAAUUCCACGUGUAGCAGUGAAAUGCGUAGAGAUGUGGAGGAAUACCGAUGGCGAAGGCAGCCCCCUGGGCCAGUACUGACGCUCAUGCACGAAAGCGUGGGGAGCAAACAGG
This 253-nucleotide ribosomal RNA is filed under the name uncultured bacterium. Its description in RNAcentral is "partial 16S ribosomal RNA". It matches the Rfam family "Bacterial small subunit ribosomal RNA", at positions 524 to 776 of the family's 1533-position model. The record is from RNAcentral.